Molecule: ribosomal RNA, 387 nt
Filed under: uncultured bacterium
Lineage: Bacteria
Description: bacterial SSU rRNA
Rfam family: Bacterial small subunit ribosomal RNA
Source: RNAcentral
GACGAACGCUGGCGGCGUGCUUAACACAUGCAAGUCGAGCGGUAAGGCCCUUUCGGGGGUACACGAGCGGCGAACGGGUGAGUAACACGUGGGUGACCUGCCUUUAGCUCUGGGAUAAGCCUGGGAAACCGGGUCUAAUACCGGAUAUGACUCCGCGGCGCAUGUUGUGGGGUGGAAAGCCUUGUGCGGCUGGAGAUGGGCCCGCGGCCUAUCAGCUUGUUGGUGGGGUGAUGGCCUACCAAGGCGACGACGGGUAGCCGGCCUGAGAGGGCGACCGGCCACACUGGGACUGAGACACGGCCCAGACUCCUACGGAGGCAGCAGUGGGGAAUCUUGCGCAAUGGGCGAAAGCCUGACGCAGCGACGCCGCGUGAGGGAUGACGGCCU